GACGAACGCUGGCGGCGUGCCUAAUACAUGCAAGUUGAGCGCUGAAGGUUGGUACUUGUACCAACUGGAUGAGCAGCGAACGGGUGAGUAACGCGUGGGGAAUCUGCCUUUGAGCGGGGGACAACAUUUGGAAACGAAUGCUAAUACCGCAUAAAAACUUUAAACACAAGUUUUAAGUUUGAAAGAUGCAAUUGCAUCACUCAAAGAUGAUCCCGCGUUGUAUUAGCUAGUUGGUGAGGUAAAGGCUCACCAAGGCGAUGAUACAUAGCCGACCUGAGAGGGUGAGCGGCCACACUGGGACUGAGACACGGCCCAAACUCCUACGGGAGGCAGCAGUAGGGAAUCUUCGGCAAUGGACGAAAGUCUGACCGAGCAACGCCGCGUGAGUGAAGAAGGUUUUCGGAUCGUAAAACUCUGUUGGUAGAGAAGAACGUUGGUGAGAGUGGAAAGCUCAUCAAGUGACGGUAACUACCCAGAAAGGGACGGCUAACUACGUG
This 497-nucleotide ribosomal RNA is filed under the name uncultured bacterium. RNAcentral's name for it is "partial 16S ribosomal RNA". It matches the Rfam family "Bacterial small subunit ribosomal RNA", at positions 28 to 507 of the family's 1533-position model. The record is from RNAcentral.